GUUCCCAGAAAAGGGCUGCGGAUCCAGAAAACCUGUGUCCCUCGAAUUCUGAGUGGAUACGUGAAGGACGAGUAAGAGCCACUGAGAAAACUAUGAUCCC
Molecule: non-coding RNA, 100 nt
Organism: Ceratotherium simum simum (southern white rhinoceros)
Lineage: Eukaryota; Metazoa; Chordata; Mammalia; Perissodactyla; Rhinocerotidae
Source: RefSeq, a predicted model, not a curated record